CCAACGGCCCUCUUUAGGGCCACCCAUCAUUUGUUUUAUAGUAUUA
Parastrongyloides trichosuri is the source of this 46-nucleotide non-coding RNA. Lineage: Eukaryota; Metazoa; Nematoda; Chromadorea; Rhabditida; Strongyloididae. The record is from Rfam.